Sapajus apella (tufted capuchin) is the source of this 1342-nucleotide long non-coding RNA. RefSeq lists it as uncharacterized. Lineage: Eukaryota; Metazoa; Chordata; Mammalia; Primates; Cebidae. The record is from RefSeq and is a predicted model, not a curated record. The transcript has 2 exons.
AGAGACGCGAUCAACCGCAAUCAGGGCGUAAGUGAAAACACACAGUCCCGUAAAGUGUCCUGGGAAAGAUGCCACGUUAAUAAAAGGGGAAAAUGCAGAGGAAUGUGUGAGGAGGGAGCUGUUAAGAAAACGCCAGUGCCCAUAAACUCUGCUCUGCAGCCCUCACCCCGCCUCCAAUCAUGGCUCCAACUUGUUUUUCAUUGGAACUUAAGAAAAAAACCUUCAAGAAACUAGCCUGUUUAUGAAGACAGCAGAGGACGGAGCUGGCCACCUGGCUGGUAUCUGCCUCUGCUGAGCCUCUGUGUCCCCUGCCUGGCCGCUGCCCUUCCACAAGUAUCUGGUGUGACUGGCCUUGAGUGACAUUCCUCAUUAUAUACUGUGUCUUACUAGAACUGCCGUCUGGCAGGCCAGGAUGCGGGGUGCAAAAGAAGAGGGUUAUAGUGGAUCCGUGCGCAGCAAGGACCAUUGUUUCUACUCUGGGGCAUUUCUGAAGCACUAUGACAGCUGUUGUGGAGCCCGGUCCAUCCUGAGCACUCCAGCGUUCCAUUUCAAGGAUCUCUUCCUGGCUCCCCUCCCACCGUCAUUCCUUUGAGAGAAUGUGGCCCCGAGAUCAAGGCAGGGAGAGCUGCCAGCUACUGCCACCUGACACAAAGCCUCAUCACCCUUGUGUAUUUCUCUCCCCUCUCCAUUCUCACCAUGGAGUCACAAUGUGGGUCAUUCUUUCCUUUCACCAAGGGAUGAGCAGGGGAAGAGAGGGCUGGAAAAAGAGACCUCUUCCUUUGCUGACUGAUUAGGAAGAAGUGUGGGGUCCAAGUGGGCCCACCCCUUGCCUAAUUUUUGCCCAAUUUUUUGGCCCCUGGAGUCCCUGGUAGACUUCUUAUCUUCUUGCGCACAAGGUUACCGUGUGUCUAAUUGCUCAGCUCCGGUUAGAGUGGCGGAGGGAAAUUGGCGUUAAUGAAUGAAUGAAUGAAUCGUUGGAUGGUUUACUGACAGCUUGGAGAAUCAACUAGGGUUUGAGCAAGAACCAGAAAGAGAAGGCCAACAUCUUUUAGCUUACCAAAUACUUUCAUGCCCCUUGGGAAGAAGAAAAACGGACAUGGGAGAGGCAGAGCAUGGAAGAGUUUAAAUUGAGCAUAAAGGACAUAAAACUAGAUAAGUAUGAUCAGAAGAUAAAAGAUGAGUAAUCAUCAAAUCCAAACCUUUACAUUUUCAGCAGAGGCUGCCAAAACCUCAAGGGGAAGUGACUUUUUUAAAAUCACAGAACCAGAGUGACUUGGGUCUUUUGACUCUUUUUUUUUUUUUUUUUUUGGUCCCUGAUAAAAUGUUGCUCUUUUCUUCUCCA